Molecule: transfer RNA, 69 nt
Filed under: Bos taurus (domestic cattle)
Lineage: Eukaryota; Metazoa; Chordata; Mammalia; Artiodactyla; Bovidae
Also listed under: 4 other names
Rfam family: tRNA
About the family: Transfer RNA (tRNA) molecules are approximately 80 nucleotides in length. Their secondary structure includes four short double-helical elements and three loops (D, anti-codon, and T loops).
Source: Rfam by way of RNAcentral
CCUGGUAGCUAAGUUGGUAAAGAAUCUGCCUGCAAAACAGGAGUCCCAGGUUCAAUCCCUGGGUCAGGA